RNAcentral lists this ribosomal RNA (893 nucleotides) under Macrococcoides caseolyticum. Its description in RNAcentral is "bacterial SSU rRNA". It matches the Rfam family "Bacterial small subunit ribosomal RNA", at positions 52 to 924 of the family's 1533-position model. Lineage: Bacteria; Bacillati; Bacillota; Bacilli; Caryophanales; Staphylococcaceae. The record is from RNAcentral.
UACAUGCAAGUCGAGCGAACGGACGAGAGUGCUUGCACUCUCUGAUGUUAGCGGCGGACGGGUGAGUAACACGUGGGUAACCUACCUAUAAGACUGGGAUAACUUCGGGAAACCGGAGCUAAUACCGGAUAAUAUUUAGCUUCGCAUGAAGCAAUAGUGAAAGACGGCUCUGCUGUCACUUAUAGAUGGACCCGCGGUGUAUUAGCUAGUUGGUGAGGUAACGGCUCACCAAGGCAACGAUACAUAGCCGACCUGAGAGGGUGAUCGGCCACACUGGGACUGAGACACGGCCCAGACUCCUACGGGAGGCAGCAGUAGGGAAUCUUCCGCAAUGGACGAAAGUCUGACGGAGCAACGCCGCGUGAGUGAAGAAGGUUUUCGGAUCGUAAAACUCUGUUGUAAGGGAAGAACAAGUACGUUAGUAACUGAACGUACCUUGACGGUACCUUACCAGAAAGCCACGGCUAACUACGUGCCAGCAGCCGCGGUAAUACGUAGGUGGCAAGCGUUAUCCGGAAUUAUUGGGCGUAAAGCGCGCGUAGGCGGUCUCUUAAGUCUGAUGUGAAAGCCCCCGGCUCAACCGGGGAGGGUCAUUGGAAACUGGGAGACUUGAGUGCAGAAGAGGAGAGUGGAAUUCCAUGUGUAGCGGUGAAAUGCGCAGAGAUAUGGAGGAACACCAGUGGCGAAGGCGGCUCUCUGGUCUGUAACUGACGCUGAGGUGCGAAAGCGUGGGGAUCAAACAGGAUUAGAUACCCUGGUAGUCCACGCCGUAAACGAUGAGUGCUAAGUGUUGGGGGGUUUCCGCCCCUCGGUGCUGCAGCUAACGCAUUAAGCACUCCGCCUGGGGAGUACGGUCGCAAGACUGAAACUCAAAGGAAUUGACGGGGACCCGC